UGGGGAAUAUUGCACAAUGGAGGGAACUCUGAUGCAGCGACGCCGCGUGAACGAAGAAGGCUUUCGAGUCGUAAAGUUCUUUUAUAUGGGAAGAUAAUGACGGUACCAUAAGAAAAAGCCCCGGCUAACUACGUGCCAGCAGCCGCGGUAAUACGUCGGGGGCUAGCGUUGUCCGGAAUCACUGGGCGUAAAGGGUUCGCAGGCGGAAAUGCAAGUCAGGUGUAAAAGGCAGUAGCUUAACUACUGUAAGCAUUUGAAACUGCAUAUCUUGAGAAGAGUAGAGGUAAGAGGAAUUUUUAGUGUAGCGGGGAAAUGCGUAGAUAUUAAAAAGAAUACCGGUGGCGAAGGCGACUUACUGGGCUCAUUCUGACGCUGAGGAACGAAAGCGUGGGUAGCAAACAGG
This 403-nucleotide ribosomal RNA is filed under the name Verrucomicrobiota bacterium. Its description in RNAcentral is "Verrucomicrobia bacterium partial 16S ribosomal RNA". It matches the Rfam family "Bacterial small subunit ribosomal RNA", at positions 355 to 776 of the family's 1533-position model. The record is from RNAcentral. Lineage: Bacteria; Pseudomonadati; Verrucomicrobiota.